Molecule: ribosomal RNA, 429 nt
Filed under: Triticum aestivum (bread wheat)
Lineage: Eukaryota; Viridiplantae; Streptophyta; Magnoliopsida; Poales; Poaceae
Description: partial small subunit ribosomal RNA
Source: RNAcentral
UGUGAAUUUUGUGACUGUGAAGAGAGUGUGAAUCAUUUAUUUUUCUCUUGUUCCUUAGCUAAGUUCCUGUGGAAUAUUGUGGGAUGUGCUCUAGGGAACCAGAGAGCUCCAAUGUAUUCUUUUGACCUAUGCCAGAACUGGUUGUCUAGCUAUACUGGCAAAGAUAGAGUAGUUGUUUUAUUGGGUACUGCAGCUCUCUUGUGGUCUAUAUGGAAAACAAGGAACAAAUCCUGUUUUCAAAGUGUUAUGCCUAGAGAUCUUACUGCCAUUAUCUUUCUUGUUUGUUCCCUACUUGACUCUUGGAAAAAUCUGCAAAAAAGAGGGGUGCAAAGCAUGCUUCAUCAGGUGUCUAGACGUAUCGUGGGGGUGACUUGUGAUAUCUUCAGAGGAGGGCAUGGUUUGGCGCCGCAUGUGAGAAGGAUUUUGUGA